UACGAAGGGGGCUAGCGUUGCUCGGAAUCACUGGGCGUAAAGGGCGCGUAGGCGGUCUUUUAAGUCUUGUGUGAAAUCCCUCGGCUCAACUGGGGAACUGCGUCCGAUACUGGAUGGCUUGAGUUUGGGAGAGGGAUGCGGAAUUCCAGGUGUAGCGGUGAAAUGCGUAGAUAUCUGGAGGAACACCGGUGGCGAAGGCGGCAUCCUGGACCAACACUGACACUGAGGAGCGAAAGCCAGGGGAGCAAACGGG
Molecule: ribosomal RNA, 253 nt
Filed under: uncultured bacterium
Lineage: Bacteria
Description: partial 16S ribosomal RNA
Rfam family: Bacterial small subunit ribosomal RNA
Source: RNAcentral